Molecule: non-coding RNA, 26 nt
Filed under: Mus musculus (house mouse)
Lineage: Eukaryota; Metazoa; Chordata; Mammalia; Rodentia; Muridae
Source: RNAcentral
UUGUCAUCCAUCGGUCUGAGGGCUGA